UAUAAUAUAGUGUACGGUGCACUGAAGCCUUUGAAACUUUAAGAGUGAGUUCAAUUCUCACGUUUAUAA
RNAcentral lists this transfer RNA (69 nucleotides) under Limnodrilus hoffmeisteri. Its description in RNAcentral is "tRNA-Gln". It matches the Rfam family "tRNA". From Rfam's summary of the family: Transfer RNA (tRNA) molecules are approximately 80 nucleotides in length. Their secondary structure includes four short double-helical elements and three loops (D, anti-codon, and T loops). Lineage: Eukaryota; Metazoa; Annelida; Clitellata; Tubificida; Naididae. The record is from RNAcentral.